UUCGGAUUGUAAACUCCUGUUGUUGAGGAAGAUAAUGACGGUACUCAACAAGGAAGUGACGGCUAACUACGUGCCAGCAGCCGCGGUAAAACGUAGGUCACAAGCGUUGUCCGGAAUUACUGGGUGUAAAGGGAGCGCAGGCGGGAAGACAAGUUGGAAGUGAAAUCCAUGGGCUCAACCCAUGAACUGCUUUCAAAACUGUUUUUCUUGAGUAGUGCAGAGGUAGGCGGAAUUCCCGGUGUAGCGGUGGAAUGCGUAGAUAUCGGGAGGAACUCCAGUGGCGAAGGCGGCCUACUGGGCACCAACUGACGCUGAGGCUCGAAAGUGUGGGUAGCAAACAGGAUUAGAUACCCUGGUAGUCCACACUGUAAACGAUGAUUACUAGGUGUUGGAGGAUUGACCCCUUCAGUGCCGCAGUUAACACAAUAAGUAAUCCACCUGGGGAGUACGACCGCAAGGUUGAAACUCAAAGGAAUUGACGGGGGCCCGCACAAGCAGUGGAGUAUGUGGUUUAAUUCGACGCAACGCGAAGAACCUUACCAAGUCUUGACAUCCUGCGACGCACAUAGAAAUAUGUGUUUCCUUCGGGACGCAGAGACAGGUGGUGCAUGGUUGUCGUCAGCUCGUGUCGUGAGAUGUUGGGUUAAGUCCCGCAACGAGCGCAACCCUUAUGGUCAGUUACUACGCAAGAGGACUCUGGCCAGACUGCCGUUGACAAAACGGAGGAAGGUGGGGAUGACGUCAAAUCAUCAUGCCCUUUAUGACUUGGGCUACACACGUACUACAAUGGCGUUAAACAAAGAGAAGCAAGACCGCGAGGUGGAGCAAAACUCAGAAACAACGUCCCAGUUCGGACUGCAGGCUGCAACUCGCCUGCACGAAGUCGGAAUUGCUAGUAAU
This 900-nucleotide ribosomal RNA is filed under the name uncultured bacterium. Its description in RNAcentral is "bacterial SSU rRNA". It matches the Rfam family "Bacterial small subunit ribosomal RNA", at positions 417 to 1342 of the family's 1533-position model. The record is from RNAcentral.